CGCAAGCUUUACUGCCUUUGGUACGGGCACGAUGCUUCUUCUUUGGGCAUGCUUUUGAAAUCAACGCGCGUUACCCU
RNAcentral lists this transfer RNA (77 nucleotides) under Pararhodospirillum photometricum DSM 122. Its description in RNAcentral is "tRNA-His". The record is from RNAcentral. Lineage: Bacteria; Pseudomonadati; Pseudomonadota; Alphaproteobacteria; Rhodospirillales; Rhodospirillaceae.